UACCGAGGUUUUCCUCGGCAGUUAACUGCAGCCGGAAUUCAAAUUUCUCGGUAGUUAACUGCCGAGAGGGCAA
This 73-nucleotide microRNA precursor is filed under the name Medicago truncatula (barrel medic). RNAcentral describes it as "MIR2629 microRNA precursor family". It matches the Rfam family "MIR2629 microRNA precursor family". The record is from Rfam by way of RNAcentral. Lineage: Eukaryota; Viridiplantae; Streptophyta; Magnoliopsida; Fabales; Fabaceae.